ACCUCCAACCCGUUUGCCGGCCCCGAUCCCCCAUCUGCCGUUGGCAUUUGCGAUCUUAACAUCUUUGAUCGCGUUCCUAUCUGUCUUGAGCAAAACAACUCCACGUACUAUGCAUGGAAGACUUACUUCUCCCUCGUCUUCCGCGAGUACUUCCUCACCGAGCACAUCGACGGUUCCGUCAAUGCUGUGCUUAUGAAGGGUGAUCCCGAGUGGUCCGCCAUCGAAGCUACGCUCAUCCGAUGGUUCUACCUCACCAUCUCGAAGGAGAUAUUCUACACGGUCGUGUCCGAUGACGACGACGCAUGCUCCUUGUGGAACAAGAUCAACACGCUCUUCACCGACAACAAGCUCCAACGUAUGGGUUUUUUGCAGCAAGAAUUCUUCGGGUGCCAUUAAAACGACUCUUCCAUUGACCACUACUGCAUGCGCAUGAAGAUGCUCGCCGACGAACUACGCGACAUCGGCGCCAAGGUCUCCGACGAGCUCAUGCUUAGCACCCUCACGCCGGCCGCAAUGAGGAUUUUGGUAACGCGGCAUCUAACAUGACCUUGCUGCCCUCACCGCCUUUCCACCACCGUCACCUACCUGCGCUUGGAGAAGCGCCGAAUGAAGAUGGUGAAAACACAGGUGCAGCAAACCGCCCUCCACGCCAACGCCUCACGCGGUGCACCCGCGCUCCCGCUGCCGGCUCCACCAUAGUCGCAACAGUGGCCUCUUGCCGCGUCGGCCGCCUACUACCAGCCGCCAUCCGCGCCGCCGUCGGCCGACCGUGGCCGGCGCAACAAGCGUGGGGGUCGCCCCAAGCAGCAGCAGCAGAACCAGGGGUACAGGGGGAGCCUCGCCAGCCUCAGCCUUACCCACCCUAGUCCUUUGGCACCAACCUGUAGACUCGUGUUGUUCAUGCUUAUAGCAUGCCAGUUCCACGCGGCCCUGUUCCUGGCAUCCUUGGCUCACGACCUGCUGGGCAUCAGGCAUAGAAAGCGACUUCUCAGCCGCAGCUCGGCGGCUACUCCAUGCCACCCUCACCAUCGCUGACGGGUGGUUACCCUCUGCUGCCACCACCGUCGGCUUCCGGUGGCUACGGCCACAUGCAGCCGCCGGCUCCCGCACCAUGGAAUCCCGCCCUCCUCGCAGCUUUCCGCUCCGCACCUUCGCCGAACCAGUACGUCAGAGGCAGCGACUGCUACAUGGACUCGAGGGCUACCACCCACAUGUCAUCCACCCUCAGACGCCUGUUCCCGGAUGGUUCUUCACCGUGUGACAGCCCCGAUGAGCUCUACCUGGUUCAUUCUUCAUCCACCACCUCUGGCGCUCCCGUCGCUCUCUCCGCCGGUGUAAACCUUUGGCACGCUCGUUUGGGUCAUCCACACUUGCCACCCUUCAUCAUAUUAUUAAGAGCUUUUCAUUCACGUGUAAUAAGAUUGACAAUCAUACUUGUCAUGCUAGCCUUAUUGGAAAGCAUGUUCGUCUUCCUUUAGUGCAUCUACCACUAUUUCUUUUUCGUUUCAAUUACUUCAUAGUGAUGUAUGGACAUCUCCGGUUGCAAGCAACACUGGUUACCUUUACUAUCUUGUGAUCUUAGAUGAUUUUUCUCAUUAUGUGUGGAUUUUUCAUCUUCGCCGCAAA
Molecule: long non-coding RNA, 1626 nt
Organism: Hordeum vulgare subsp. vulgare (domesticated barley)
Lineage: Eukaryota; Viridiplantae; Streptophyta; Magnoliopsida; Poales; Poaceae
Exons: 2
Source: RefSeq, a predicted model, not a curated record